Molecule: ribosomal RNA, 502 nt
Filed under: uncultured bacterium
Lineage: Bacteria
Description: partial 16S ribosomal RNA
Rfam family: Bacterial small subunit ribosomal RNA
Source: RNAcentral
GAUAAACGCUAGCGGCAUGCUUAACACAUGCAAGUCGAGGGGCAGCAUAGAUUGUAGCAAUACAAUUGGUGGCGACCGGCGCACGGGUGCGUAACGCGUAUGCCACCUACCCGUCACAGGGUGAUAAUGCGGAGAAAUCUGGUCUAAUACCCCAUAACAUAUGGAACGGCAUCGGUUCAUCUUGAAAUUUUCGGAGGAGACGGAUGGGCAUGCGUAGGAUGAGCUUGUUGGUGAGGUAACGGAUCGCCAAGGCGACGAUGCUUAGGGGGACUGAGCGGUGUUCCCCCCACUGGUACUGAGGCACGGACCAGACUCCUACGGGAGGCAGCAGUGAGGAAUAUUGGUCAAUGGGCGCAAGCCUGAACCAGCCAUGCCGCGUGCAGGAUGACGGCUCUAUGAGUUGUAAACUGCUUUUGUACGAGGGUAAAGUGGGUUACGUGUAACCUUUCGAAAGUAUCGUACGAAUAAGGAUCGGCUAACUCCGUGCCAGCCGCCGCGGUAA